This 495-nucleotide ribosomal RNA is filed under the name uncultured bacterium. RNAcentral describes it as "partial 16S ribosomal RNA". It matches the Rfam family "Bacterial small subunit ribosomal RNA", at positions 28 to 507 of the family's 1533-position model. The record is from RNAcentral.
GACGAACGCUGGCGGCGUGCCUAAUACAUGCCAGUAGAACGCUGAAGGAGGAGCUUGCUUCUCUGGAUGAGUUGCGAACGGGUGAGUAACGCGUAGGUAACCUGCCUGGUAGCGGGGGAUAACUAUUGGAAACGAUAGCUAAUACCGCAUAAUAGUAGAUGUUGCAUGACAUUUGCUUAAAAGGUGCAAUUGCAUCACUACCAGGUGGACCUGCGUUGUAUUAGCUAGUUGGUGGGGUAACGGCUCACCAAGGCGACGAUACAUAGCCGACCUGAGAGGGUGAUCGGCCACACUGGGACUGAGACACGGCCCAGACUCCUACGGGAGGCAGCAGUAGGGAAUCUUCGGCAAUGGACGGAAGUCUGACCGAGCAACGCCGCGUGAGUGAAGAAGGUUUUCGGAUCGUAAAGCUCUGUUGUAAGAGAAGAACGAGUGUGAGAGUGGAAAGUUCACAUUGUGACGGUAUCUUACCAGAAAGGGACGGCUAACUACGUG